This 609-nucleotide long non-coding RNA is filed under the name Mustela putorius furo (domestic ferret). RNAcentral's name for it is "lncRNA (ENSMPUG00000024161.1)". The record is from RNAcentral. Lineage: Eukaryota; Metazoa; Chordata; Mammalia; Carnivora; Mustelidae.
UGGGUCUCACUCCACAGUGAUUGUGUCAGAAUCUGAAUUUCAACAAGAUUCUCAGGUGAUUCAUAUGCACAUUAAAAUUCCAGCAGCAAUGUUUCUCUGUGUUUAAUUGGAACUUCUUUUUCUUUGUUCUGUUUGUAUUGGAAUUCUUUUACUGGGAUAUGACAUUUUAGCACAAACCAGAGCCGAGGAAACAGGGGUAUCCAAACAAAGAAGACGUAGGGUAUGCUUACUGUGUACAGGAGUAGCCCACACAGACUGCACAUAAAGAGAAGGUUCAAGGUCGGCGUACUGGAGGGGGCCUCUUGAUGUGAGGACAUCUGUACAUCUAUAGAACGGAAUAGCCUUAUUUUUCUCAUUAGCCUCUAAUCUGAAAGUUUCUCUAUCUACAAAAAGGAACCGAGAACAGAAUCCUUCUACUGCCCAAUGUAAGGAAGACGCUACUGGAAAACUGUGACCAGAGGGAAGGCCUCACCCGCCCCUGCUGGCGCCUCCAUCACGGGCUUCCAGCCUCCAGACCUGUGAGCAAUACUUUCUGUUUUUUGGUAAGCGACCCAGUCUGCGGUAUUUUCUUCUAAACAGACUAAGACAAUAACAUAAUCUCUUUAAGCA